Molecule: ribosomal RNA, 526 nt
Filed under: Escherichia coli
Lineage: Bacteria; Pseudomonadati; Pseudomonadota; Gammaproteobacteria; Enterobacterales; Enterobacteriaceae
Description: bacterial SSU rRNA
Rfam family: Bacterial small subunit ribosomal RNA
Source: RNAcentral
AAAUUGAAGAGUUUGAUCAUGGCUCAGAUUGAACGCUGGCGGCAGGCCUAACACAUGCAAGUCGAACGGUAACAGGAAACAGCUUGCUGUUUCGCUGACGAGUGGCGGACGGGUGAGUAAUGUCUGGGAAACUGCCUGAUGGAGGGGGAUAACUACUGGAAACGGUAGCUAAUACCGCAUAACGUCGCAAGACCAAAGAGGGGGACCUUCGGGCCUCUUGCCAUCGGAUGUGCCCAGAUGGGAUUAGCUAGUAGGUGGGGUAACGGCUCACCUAGGCGACGAUCCCUAGCUGGUCUGAGAGGAUGACCAGCCACACUGGAACUGAGACACGGUCCAGACUCCUACGGGAGGCAGCAGUGGGGAAUAUUGCACAAUGGGCGCAAGCCUGAUGCAGCCAUGCCGCGUGUAUGAAGAAGGCCUUCGGGUUGUAAAGUACUUUCAGCGGGGAGGAAGGGAGUAAAGUUAAUACCUUUGCUCAUUGACGUUACCCGCAGAAGAAGCACCGGCUAACUCCGUGCCAGCAGCC